UACGGGAGGCAGCAGUGGGGAAUAUUGCACAAUGGGCGCAAGCCUGAUGCAGCCAUGCCGCGUGUAUGAAGAAGGCCUUCGGGUUGUAAAGUACUUUCAGUCGUGAGGAAGGUGUUAAGGUUAAUAACCUUAGCAAUUGACGUUAGCGACAGAAGAAGCACCGGCUAACUCCGUGCCAGCAGCCGCGGUAAUACGGAGGGUGCGAGCGUUAAUCGGAAUUACUGGGCGUAAAGGGCACGCAGGCGGUUAAUUAAGUUGGAUGUGAAAUCCCCGGGCUUAACCUGGGAAUGGCAUUCAAGACUGGUUAGCUAGAGUCUUGUAGAGGGGGUAGAAUUCCAUGUGUAGCGGUGAAAUGCGUAGAGAUGUGGAGGAAUACCGGUGGCGAAGGCGGCCCCUGGACAAAGACUGACGCUCAUGUGCGAAAGCGU
This 428-nucleotide ribosomal RNA is filed under the name uncultured bacterium. RNAcentral describes it as "bacterial SSU rRNA". It matches the Rfam family "Bacterial small subunit ribosomal RNA", at positions 340 to 762 of the family's 1533-position model. The record is from RNAcentral.